ACCUAGCCCGCACACAACUGUUGGCUCUGAUGAACACUCCUGGAGCACCUACUGUGUGCCAAGAACUAUGCCAGGGGUCUAUUCUCAUCGCACUUGCUGCAUUUAUGACUUCAUCCCCGAGGGAGGAUUCAUGAGCCAAGAGAUGCAUGAUUUUUCCACUCUAUAUAUACACCUGCUGUGAACUGCAGACUGGUAGGCCAGAAAGGAUGGAUGAAGAAUAGAGAAAAGAAAGUAUAGUGAGCAUGCAAGUCAGGUGCUUGUUUGUACGAGGCAGAUGUUCACCACCAGAGCUUCGUGGAUUUCAUCACGAAAUUGAGACGAUGGCAAUUUCAUUACCGCCCAAUCGCAGCACCUCUCCAGUGUGAAUGCACUACUGCUCUUUCCCUGCGUUACUAACGCUGCCUGGCUACGUGGCAUCAGCAGAGAGAUCCAGGACCUGCCUCUGGCUACACUUGGAUGGAGAGUCUGCCACAGUCCACAGGUAGAGGCUGCCCUGCUGUUGAGAGCCAGACUCUU
Long non-coding RNA from Eptesicus fuscus (big brown bat), 516 nucleotides. RefSeq lists it as uncharacterized. The transcript has 4 exons. The record is from RefSeq and is a predicted model, not a curated record. Lineage: Eukaryota; Metazoa; Chordata; Mammalia; Chiroptera; Vespertilionidae.